UGGGGAAUAUUGGACAAUGGGGGCAACCCUGAUCCAGCAAUGCCGCGUGUGUGAAGAAGGUCUUCGGAUUGUAAAGCACUUUCGACGGGGACGAUGAUGACGGUACCCGUAGAAGAAGCCCCGGCUAACUUCGUGCCAGCAGCCGCGGUAAUACGAAGGGGGCUAGCGUUGCUCGGAAUGACUGGGCGUAAAGGGCGUGUAGGCGGUUUACACAGUCAGAUGUGAAAUCCCCGGGCUUAACCUGGGAGCUGCAUUUGAUACGUGUAGACUAGAGUGUGAGAGAGGGUUGUGGAAUUCCCAGUGUAGAGGUGAAAUUCGUAGAUAUUGGGAAGAACACCGGUGGCGAAGGCGGCAACCUGGCUCAUGACUGACGCUGAGGCGCGAAAGCGUGGGGAGCAAACAGGAUUAGAUACCCUGGUAGUCCACGCUGUAAACGAUGCGUGCUAGAUGUUGGGUAACUUUGUUAUUCAGUGUCGCAG
Molecule: ribosomal RNA, 479 nt
Filed under: uncultured bacterium
Lineage: Bacteria
Description: partial 16S ribosomal RNA
Rfam family: Bacterial small subunit ribosomal RNA
Source: RNAcentral